GACGAACGCUGGCGGCGUGCUUAACACAUGCAAGUCGAACGGAAAGGCCCUGCUUUUGUGGGGUGCUCGAGUGGCGAACGGGUGAGUAACACGUGAGUAACCUGCCCUUGACUUUGGGAUAACUUCAGGAAACUGGGGCUAAUACCGGAUAGGAGCUCCUGCUGCAUGGUGGGGGUUGGAAAGUUUCGACGGUUGGGGAUGGACUCGCGGCUUAUCAGCUUGUUGGUGGGGUAGUGGCUUACCAAGGCUUUGACGGGUAGCCGGCCUGAGAGGGUGACCGGCCACAUUGGGACUGAGAUACGGCCCAGACUCCUACGGGAGGCAGCAGCGGGGAAUAUUGCACAAUGGGCGGAAGCCUGAUGCAGCAACGCCGCGUGCGGGAUGACGGCCUUCGGGUUGUAAACCGCUUUCGCCUGUGACGAAGCGUGAGUGACGGUAAUGGGUAAAGAAGCACCGGCUAACUACGUG
Molecule: ribosomal RNA, 468 nt
Filed under: uncultured bacterium
Lineage: Bacteria
Description: partial 16S ribosomal RNA
Rfam family: Bacterial small subunit ribosomal RNA
Source: RNAcentral